AACGCACCUUGCGCCCUUUGGCUAUUCUGAAGGGCAUGCCUGUUUGAGUAUCAUGAACAUCUCAACUCUCACGGUUCGCCGUGAUGAGCUUGGACUUUGGGGGUCUUGCUGGCCUGCGGGUUGGCUCCUCUCAAAUUGAUCAGCUUGCCAGUGUUUGGUGGCAUCACGUGUGUGAUAACUAUCUACGCUCGUGGUUCUCCGCCAGGUAACCUUCGGUGACGGAGGUUCGCUGGAGCUCACAAACGUCUCUCCUCAGUGAGGACAGCUUUUUAACGUUUGAUCUCAAAUCAGGUAGGACUACCCGCUGAACUUAA
RNAcentral lists this unclassified non-coding RNA (314 nucleotides) under Hyaloscypha sp. RNAcentral describes it as "partial contains 5.8S ribosomal RNA, internal transcribed spacer 2, and large subunit ribosomal RNA". The record is from RNAcentral. Lineage: Eukaryota; Fungi; Ascomycota; Leotiomycetes; Helotiales; Hyaloscyphaceae.